GGGAAGAUGGCCGAGUGGUUAAGGCGCUACGUUUAGGAGAUUCCUGAUAUAUUCUAUCAGAAACAGAGGAUCCGUAGUGGGAAACCGCGUGAGUUCGAACCUCACUCUUCUCA
Peziza echinospora is the source of this 113-nucleotide non-coding RNA. Lineage: Eukaryota; Fungi; Ascomycota; Pezizomycetes; Pezizales; Pezizaceae. The record is from the annotation of a GenBank genome assembly.